UGGAACGUUCCUGCUCUUUGGUGGCUUAAA
RNAcentral lists this non-coding RNA (30 nucleotides) under Mus musculus (house mouse). Lineage: Eukaryota; Metazoa; Chordata; Mammalia; Rodentia; Muridae. The record is from RNAcentral.